GGAGUUUUUAGCCUUUUAACAUUCAAGGAUUAGGUAAGUUCUCCCCGCGGUAGACUUCAAAUACUCUUUGUCCUGCCCCUGCUUGGCGAAAUUUACCGAAAUUAUCUACCUAUCCCGCUGGAGUGGGAGCCGGGGGAGAGCUGGAACCGCGUCUCUGCUGCUCACCUUUGUGUCCUUAGCUCCUUCGCAUGGGGUCCGACCGCAACACGUGCGCUGGAUAAACGCUUGUUAACUGGAGCUCCCUCUUUGCCCACUAGCAGGGCAUUAGCUGGUGCUGAAGACAGUGGCUGCUUGGCGAGCCUGGAUCUCCAAGUGACCCCCUCAGCAACUCCUGAUGAACAGGGACUUGCACUUAGGAAUCUGUUACAGUGAGCACAGAAGCAGACCUGUGGGCUCAUAGUCUUCACCCCCCACCCAUAUAUACAAGAUGAACAGAGUGGAGGUUAAACAACUUGACUAAACAACACAGUUCAUGGUAAAGCCCAAGACUGUACCUGCCCAUCCACUGCCUUUUCCAUGUAUCCUGGAACUGAGCAUAGAC
RNAcentral lists this long non-coding RNA (541 nucleotides) under Homo sapiens (human). RNAcentral's name for it is "non-protein coding lnc-TRIM26-2:54". The record is from RNAcentral. Lineage: Eukaryota; Metazoa; Chordata; Mammalia; Primates; Hominidae.